RNAcentral lists this ribosomal RNA (497 nucleotides) under uncultured bacterium. Its description in RNAcentral is "partial 16S ribosomal RNA". It matches the Rfam family "Bacterial small subunit ribosomal RNA", at positions 28 to 507 of the family's 1533-position model. The record is from RNAcentral.
GAUGAACGCUGGCGGCGUGCCUAAUACAUGCAAGUCGAGCGACCAGACGAGGAGCUUGCUCCUCUGACGUUAGCGGCGGACGGGUGAGUAACACGUGGAUAACCUACCUAUAAGACUGGGAUAACUUCGGGAAACCGGAGCUAAUACCGGAUAAUAUAUUGACCCGCAUGGUUCAUUAGUGAAAGCCGGUUUUGCUUUCACUUUUAGAUGGAUCCGCGCCGCAUUAGCUAGUUGGUAAGGUAACGGCUUACCAAGGCUACGAUGCGUAGCCGACCUGAGAGGGUGAUCGGCCACACUGGAACUGAGACACGGUCCAGACUCCUACGGGAGGCAGCAGUAGGGAAUCUUCCGCAAUGGGCGAAAGCCUGACGGAGCAACGCCGCGUGAGUGAUGAAGGUCUUCGGAUCGUAAAACUCUGUUAUUAGGGAAGAACAAAUGUGUAAGUAACUAUGCACGUCUUGACGGUACCUAAUCAGAAAGCCACGGCUAACUACGUG